Long non-coding RNA from Bos grunniens (domestic yak), 2502 nucleotides. Lineage: Eukaryota; Metazoa; Chordata; Mammalia; Artiodactyla; Bovidae. The record is from Ensembl.
AUGAAGGAUGGGCACUCCUCGGUGUGCCGGAAUUUAACCUCCGACACCCGCAUAUUAGUCUACUCGGAGGAAGAAAUUGAAGCGUGGGGCUGGAAAAAGCCAGGGCACUUGGGGGGAAGAGCUGUAUUUACUCCAUCACGGCACAGUGUCUCAGAAGUGGGGGAGGAUAUCCACCUGUGGGUUGUGUGGCCUGACAAGCCCCAAGUCGCAGGUUGCUGGGUAUCAGCUCCAACCGUGCAAGUGCUCAGCUGUGUCCAACUCUUUGCGACCCUAUGGACUGUAGCCCAUCAGGCUCUUCUGUCCAUGGGGUUCUUCAGGCAAGAAUACUGGAGUGGGUUGCCAUACCCUCCUCCAGGGGAUCUUCCCAAUCAAGGGAUCGAAUCUGCAUCUCCUAUGUCUCCUGUAUUGCAGACAGAUUCUUCACCUGCUGAGCCACUGAGGAAGCCCCAUCGGCUCCAAAGCCAGGAACAAAUUCAGGCAUCAGCUGAAUGGAUGCGCCAACUCUCAGUAGCAAUGGCAGCUCUUAAGGAAAGCAGAUGGGGACACAGGACAGAAGGUAUCAAAGACACUGAGUAUCUGGAGAGGGGGGAGAAGGAGCAGUUGUUUUUUGAUGGAUACAGAAGGCCUCAGAUUCCAAAAGAGCAAACACCUCUCUAGGCACAUGGAGGAAGAUGAUACGGCGCACACCUGGAGUAGAUCUGACUGAUCUACCCCAGCCCCAAACCGCCGAUAUGUACUUUCUGGACCCUGAUCUUCCUCUGCCUCCCCCAGCCGUAGCUUCUGAGAGUAGCUAAAUCUCAGUGGUUACACAUGAGACUGCAGUCAUCAGCUGCAAAUUCACCAGGAGUUUCAGGGUUCCUCAAUUCAUCCUAACCAGCAAAUUACGAGCCGGGAGCAGCUUUAUAAAAUAUGAAACGGCUGCUGUCAGUUUUUCCAUCAGUUCUACAUAUUUUGCUGUUAACAAAAGGAACCGAUAACCACUUCUCAUAAGGAAAAACAAGAAUAAAAUCAAAGGCUCCUAAUGGAGACAAUCUCCAAAGUGCAACAAUACAAGCCCAUUUCUUUCUUUCUUUUUUUCCUUCCCUGACAAAUCAAUCUGGCCAUGGUCCAAGGAUACAGGCAGACAGACGGAGCUACCUCACCUGUUUUAUUAAGCCAUUACCAGAAUCAUUUUAUUCCCAUUUAUAAUGUUCAAUACAUGGUCUGAAGACUUUUCUAAUAUAGUAAUUAGAUGGAACACUAGAUAGAUGGAUUAAAUUGGGACGAUAUUUUAUGCCUUUGUACAUUGCUUUACAAUAUUCUGCCUGGUUUCUGAGAUACCAAAGUGUGAGCAUGUGUGUAUAUAUAUAAAUAUACCCCUUUUAUUUUGGAUGAGAAGGCUGUACUUUGCAUGUGGCUCAUCUCAGCGUAAGCCUUCCCAUGGAAAUCUGAUGGAAAUGUAUGAACCCCUGAUAGAACUCGCCAGGAAAUCCAUCCUAUAUUCCAUCUCCCCUUGCCCCCAAACAAAGGUUGCUCAAGUAUCCUCGCUGUUGUCAUGGUCACUACAGCUGACAUUUACUGGGUAUCAGGCAUGGAGCUGAGACCCUGACAUUUCUCAGGAGGUCACAUAACUUGGGGGCUCAAGAGCACAGGCUUUGAAAUUGCCCAGUGCUGGGGUUAAGCCCCGGUUCUCAUACAUGCUUGCUGUACGAUCUGGCGGAAGUCACUUUUUACCUCUCUGAGCCUCAGCUUUCCCUACCUGUAACAUGGGGAUAAAACCAGUACCCAUAUCACAAGCUUGUUAUUAAGAUACUUUGAUACUAAGAUGAUGCUUAGCAUGGGGCCAGACAGAGAAUAAGUGCUCAGAAAAUGUCAUUUUUAUUAUCAUCUCACUUAGCCCAAGGAGAUGGCAUCAUGCCUCUUUUACAGAUGGUGAAACUGAGGUUUGGAGAGGGGAAACAUUUACCCAGGUUACCAAAUAGGUGGGGGGCAUGGGUAUCUGUGUCCACAGACUUCUCACUUAACAACCACAAAAGACUGUCUCCUUUGAAGGGAAAAGAAGGGAUACCUCUACUAAGAAAUGCGUGUUGCAGGAGGAGGAGGGAUGUUGAACUAAUAAGCCCAUAAGCCCCUAAUUUGUACCUAAGAUAUGGACUUAAAUUAUAGUCCUAACUCUAAGGGUCUAAGAAAUCUAGACUUGGUGAUCAACAAAGAUCUCCUUUCAUGUGCCCCCUCCUCUCAUUCCGUGAGAUGACACAAAAAUGAAGCCAGAGAAAUGAGUCCUGCAGGUGUCACCUGAGCCCACUCACUUCUCAGGCACCUUCCUUACAUGGGAAAACUGAGACACUGAAAGGUCAAACCGGGAGCAUCAUAGCAAGAUAGGACACUACUUUAUAGAGUGGAACACUGACGCUCAAGAGAGGUGGUGCAACCUGUCUGUGGUCACUUGAGGUCACAUUAAGGACCUCUUUCUGCACAAGAGUGCCUCAGUGAUCCUCCCAAUUCCAAUUAUGCAAAAAAAAC